This 96-nucleotide non-coding RNA is filed under the name Amorphochlora amoebiformis. Lineage: Eukaryota; Cercozoa; Chlorarachniophyceae. The record is from RNAcentral.
AACGAGGGAAAAAAAAAAAAAAAAGUGGAGGGAACAACACGGGUGCACUCUCUCCUAUGGUUUUAUUUAAACAAAUCAAACUUUUUUAUAUUUUUU